RNAcentral lists this unclassified non-coding RNA (337 nucleotides) under soil metagenome. Its description in RNAcentral is "partial contains 5.8S ribosomal RNA, internal transcribed spacer 2, and large subunit ribosomal RNA". The stretch from base 1 to 120 matches the Rfam family "5.8S ribosomal RNA", at positions 35 to 154 of the family's 154-position model. The record is from RNAcentral.
GAUGAAGAACGCAGCGAAAUGCGAUAAGUAGUGUGAAUUGCAGAAUUCAGUGAAUCAUCGAAUCUUUGAACGCACAUUGCGCCGCUUGGUAGUCCAUGGGGCAUGCCUGUUCGAGCGUCAUUUGUACCUUCAAGCCUUGCUUGGUGUUGGGUGUUUGUCUCGCCUCUGCGCGCAGACUCGCCUCAAAACAAUUGGCAGCCGGCGUAUUGAUUUCGGAGCGCAGUACAUCUCGCGCUUUGCACUCAGAACGACGACGUCCAAAAGUACAUUUUUACACUCUUGACCUCGGAUCAGGUAGGGAUACCCGCUGAACUUAAGCAUAUCAAUAAGCGGAGGA